Molecule: non-coding RNA, 27 nt
Filed under: Aspergillus niger
Lineage: Eukaryota; Fungi; Ascomycota; Eurotiomycetes; Eurotiales; Aspergillaceae
Also listed under: 155 other names
Source: RNAcentral
UUGACCUCGGAUCAGGUAGGGAUACCC